GCUUUUAGCUGGGCUGAUUAGCGGGCUCACAGUGAUGAAAGUGCACUUUGCGAAAUACAACACCAACGAAGAAAUAGAAGAAAAACAGUUAAGACUAAGACUCAACUCACACAUCUUUUCCCCUCCCAACGCAAUCCUCAUUCUCCGUCACGCCUUCGCAACCCCACUGCCACCGCAUCAACUUUAGUCAACUCUUCUUCUAACUUCUAUUUCAAUACCUUCUCUUAUUCCUCUGUUAUUCUUAAAAUUCCAUUAUUAGCCCUCUCCGACCACCGUCCCCACCUCCUUCCACCGCCUCUCUUGUACCUCCAG
RNAcentral lists this long non-coding RNA (312 nucleotides) under Phaseolus vulgaris (common bean). RNAcentral's name for it is "long non-coding RNA (PVUL_LNC003180)". Lineage: Eukaryota; Viridiplantae; Streptophyta; Magnoliopsida; Fabales; Fabaceae. The record is from RNAcentral.